GAUGUCAAUAACACAUGUCACCUCAUUCGCAGUAAGAGCGGCUUCCUGGUAGGCCUCAACCUCCAUCUCCCCCUCAGGUUCCUGAGUUAGAGGGGGAUCUACCACAUGGUCCUCUUUCUCGAUCGUUGCUUGCUCCCCCUGGUUAAAAGUCGACCCACGAGUGAUGAAGAGGUCGUAUUAUUUGGCCUUGUCCCUGAGACGGUAGAGAGACUCAGGGUCUGGUACCUUGGACUUGGUGUUCUUCUUGGGCUUUCAGACCUCGGUGGCCGCCCUCUUAUUCCUUUUCACCUACGGGUCAGGGAAAUCCGAGGACUUUCUUUUUUUGUUCUUCUCCUCCUUCGUGGCAGCCCCGGGCUAUCUCAAAAUGGAGGUCUCGGCAAGCAAGGACGAAUCCUCAUCCUCAUCCAGUAGCCUAAGUUCAGUGGUCUUAGGGAAACCUGUAAGAAAAGGUUAGCAGUAUGUAAGUUAAGAGCGUAGUGAUAACUAUUUAGGGAAGAACCUCACCAUAAGAACGUUCCUCCCAUUUUCCCUUCGAAAGUUCGCGCCAUGCGCGCUCGGAGUACGGCAUCUACUUGCAGAUUCCCUCGAUCAACUCAUUGAACUGGAGGAUUGCAUCAGGAACUUAGGCAACAAUUGCAUGACCACAAACACAGGCAAUGUGAGAAAGAAUAAAAAUAAAGAAAUACCCAAGAAAGACAAUACUUACGGGAUGCAUUCCACUCCUCGGGGAACUAUAUUUUAUGCCAUGUCAUAUUUAUAUUUGGAUUUUUCUCACUAAAUUUUAUGCCAUGUCAUAUCUAUGGUAGGGGUUUGAGCCAAAAUGACUUUUAAGUUACAAUAUAAAAGUUAAGUUACUUUUAAGUGACAAAAAAUAGUUAAGUGACUUUAGUGAAAUUGAAACAUAGUUGAGUGACCAUCACUGAAAUUAACACAUUUCAAGAAUAACUGAGUUCCUAGGGAAUUGGUUACCAGAUUUGUACAACCACGAUAAGAAUCUAAAAAACAGAAAAAGUGGAGCUGAACUGGAAGAGUUAUGAAUUCAGAUUAUUUGUAGAUUCGAAAUUAUAUUAUUCAGGGAACUUUCCAUAUCACUUAACGUGACUAUUUUGGUAUUUAGAGCACAAUAUCGAGUUUCCACAACAACAACAACAAUAACAACCCAGUAUAAUCCCAAUUAGUGGGGUCUGGGGAGGGUAGUGUGUACGCAGACCUUAUCCCUACCCUUGGGUAGAGAGGCNNNNNNNNNNNNNNNNNNNNNNNNNNNNNNNNNNNNNNNNNNNNNNNNNNNNNNNNNNNNNNNNNNNNNNNNGUUUCCAAAUAGACCCCCGGCAUCCUUCCCUCCAAGAACUUCCCACCUUGCUCUUGAGGAGACUCGAACUCACAACCUCUCGGUUGGAAGUGAUGGUUGCUUACCAUCAUAGCAACCCCUCUUGUCCAAUAUCGAGUGUCCACAUUUUUCCUAAAUUGUUUCAGUUGGCAAGUUUUAUGGUUAUAAAAAUAAGUCAAGUAAUAUCUCUUGUGAUUAAAAGCCAUAAAACUAAUUUCUCGAAAUAAACUCAUGAGAAAGUUAUAUCACUAGAGCAUCAGGUAAUAGUAAACUUGAGCAGAAUCAGCCAAAAUGAAAACAAAUUCCAGCAAACGAAAUGGUGCAUCAUAAGUAGUUCAGCUCGGGCUAGCAUCUGCAACUAAGACUUUGUUUCAAUUUGAGAAAGGGUUUGUACAGAUGAUCUUUGAUCAACUAAAGAGUGCUCACUUCAGUCAGAUUAUUGACAUGGUAUACGUAAAUAUCCCUGUUCUCAUCAUUGUUCCGAUUCUUGAGAGUAACUAGACCACAAUAUGCAGUAAAGUUCUCAAUAUAUUCAACUAGCUCAAUUGUAAAUGCUUGGGGUGACGCAUUGGUAAAUUAAGGGCUUGAUUAGCAGUAUUAUACGAUAGAAAAAAUGAACUUCCCAUCCUAUUGAAUAAACAUGACCAGUAAUCCAAAAAUAAACAACUCGGGAGUUGGAUGUGGGGCCAAAAACUGAAUUGGCUUAACUAGCUCAUGGGAUAAACUAUGUGGCAAAAAUGAGACAGCUUAUGCUAAUGAGAUGAUAAGGCCACGCAGAUAACAAAGACCGACAUGCGAGCAAAAAAUAGUUCUGUGUGAUGAAUGUCUCCCAAGAUCCAAGCUAGUACUCGCAUUUUUUUACUAGACAGCAUCUCUACUUCACAUCCACAUAGUUUACAGAAGACAAACGCAAGGGUUUACGCUUGCUUGGACAACUAAAACUUGGUUUACUUACGGCUAGUGUAUCAGUAAUAUAGUAUUCUUGUUAACAGAAGGAUCGAAAGAAAAGUGAGGAUUAAAGGUCCAAGCUAGUAAAAUCAACCCCUCCUGCCCCACCCAAACAGAAGUUUAGUAUUCUUGUUAGAUCACAGAAGGAUCGAAAGAAAAGUGAGGAUUAAAGGUCCAAGCUAGUAAAAUCGACCCCUCCUGCCCCACCCAAACAGAAGUUUACAGGGUUCUUAGUCGUAUAUUGUGGCUGUUCUUGUAUGGUUGUACUACAUACAUAAUAUUGUCCUUGUGGCGUUGGUCAUACAAUAAAAAAACUAUGAAAAUUAAUGUGUAUCAACUAAUACAAUUGUUGCUUUGGCAGGGAGCUCACGUAUUCUCCAACAUUGUCUGGUAGAGCUUUGCCAAGCAGUCCAUGAGCUGAGCGAGCCUUUUUUCCUUCCACAUCUGUAUCUGAGCCUUAAGUGUCACUAAAACAGGUAAAAAUAUCUGAUACCGAGUAUGGGACUGGAAGGGGCAUGUUGCAGCAGGUUUGGGAUCCACAUCACAUACUCAUAGCGCGCUAUACUCUGGUGGCAUAGCCAGGAAUUUUAUGCCAGUGGAUUGAAAAAACACAAGAAUGUCAUAGUUGGGAUAAGAACUUGUGCUCUGAAACAAUUUUUUAACCCCCUUGACUACUAUAGUAUGAAUUUUCCUUGUGCCAAAGGGAUUCAACAGUUUAUAUAUAACUAAAAUAUUCUAUAUUUAGCCUAUUUGCAGGUGUAUAAUUUUUUGAUGAAGGGAAAUCAAUUGAACCCUUCUCUCUUACUAGCUCAGCCUCUGGUCAUACCCAUUUGACAUGGGCAGAUGCUAAAUUGCACCGUAUAUAUCCACUUCCUCUUGCCAUUUCUAUGCAGAUAAGUCUAAAUUUAUGUAAUUUGACACAGAAGUUAUCCAUAUUUACUUAAAUUUCACCAACACCACAUAAAAAAUUGUUAUGUUUAAAUAGGGAGUAAAUAAUAUGCUGACAACAGUCCCAUAACCACCAAUUUCUUUGGACAUCUAACUUGACAAAUAGUCUUUAAAAAAGAAGGAUAAAACCUUUGUCAUUUUACCAAAUCAUCUAAGUCCAGAAUUGCACACUGAAGCAUAAUUGAUCCUUAUUUGAUAAAGCAAGAAUCUUUUCCAGAAUUUACAUAAACAAAGAGGGGCAAUAAAAAAAAGGAAGAAAAGAACUGACCUCAGAUUGAAAGUUCCAAUGAAACCCCAAGAUGCAGAAAGAAGACCAUAACUUGUUUAAAGCCAGAUUAAAAAUUGUCAAAAGAAUUCUGUCCAUAUCCCGAUUUGUGGGUUUCAUCCUUGCGCAGCAGGAGCCAUGUUAAUCUUCUUUCCCAAUUCUGCAUUCAUUUUCCAGCACUAUAUUUCCUUUUUUCCUUUCUUUUUCCAAUUAUACAGCAUACUCCUCCGUAGUCCCUUCCAGGUAUAGAUAGUUACUUCACCUUAGAGGUGUAACUUAAUCGUUAAUGUUUUGCUUUUUAUAAGAUUUUGUACCUCGACUAUAUAAUACAAUCACCUUUAUAGCCCGUUUGGCCAAGCUGCAAAAAUCAGCUUAUUUUGAGAAGUGUUUUUUUUCAAAAGCGAUUUCUCAAAAGUACUUUUGGUGAGAAGCAGUUUGUGUUUGACUAAUUAGUUUGAAAAGCACUUUUAAGUAGCAAUUAGUGUUUGGCCAAGCUUUAAAAAACUGGUUCUAAUGUAUUUUUCUCAAAAGUGCUUCUAAAAAGAGUGCUUUUGGAGAGAAGCUACUUUUUUCUGCUUCUCCAAAACUGCUUCUGCUUCUCCUCAAAAACACUUUUUUUCCUUCCAGAAGCUUAGCCAAACACCUCAAUUUUCGACCAAAAGUGCUUUGGCCAAAAAAAGCACUUUUGGCAAAAAAUAAGUUUGGCCAAACAGGCUAUAAAUGUAAUAUAGGUAUCAAGAACAAUUAUCACUCAACCAAGAAUAUUAUAAAGAGCAUGAUUACAAAUCUUACUGACUACUACCAAAAGAAACGAUAUUUUCUCUCUGCUUUCCUUAAAUUUCUGUAAUUUUUUUCACCUAGGAUUUCCUUUUCUAGUUUUAUUAGCUCGAGAUGCCUUGAAGUUGAUGUCAAGAUUCUAAAUUCGGACAGAUUAAACCGAACAGAAGCUAAGAACAGAAGGAAGGUGGAAUGUAGUUGAGUUAGAGGACAACAGAUUACAACCUGAUACACAAUAACUAACUAUUAUAUUCAUCCAAUGCAUGUGUCCUAUAUAUAUAUGUUCAAAAUAAUGUAUUCCCAUAUUUCCACAGGCAUAACUAUGUUUGUAUGCACACACAUAGUCACUAACUAGCAUCUCACCUAAAAUCACUAUUAGUGUACAUCAGUUGCAGCUAAUUGUACAAGCUACUACCUUAAACUUACAAAAAUGGCUGUUUACAUACUCUAUUUGAGUGAUAUUUUCUCGCACAUUUCGUAUAAUAAAAUGACAAUCAAUUUCCAUAUGAUUUAUUCGUUCAUGGAAGCCAGGAGUAGUAGCUAUCUGAAUAGUUGUUUUACUGUCAGGAAAACAUGAAAUAGCGGCUUUACUAACAUAGAAAAUAUUCAAUAAUCAAUAUCAAGGUCACUUCAGCUUAUAACCCAAACAAGACAAUAAAGAAAACGAAGAAAGAAACUGACCUUAGAUUGAAGGUUCCAACAAAACCCUAGCAAAACUGAACAUUUCCAGAAACAAAGAGGGAGAACAAAAAAUAAAAAGGAAAAAACGAAGGAAGAAACAAACAGACCUCAGAUUGCAGGUCCGGCAAAAACCCUAACAAAUCUGAAAAGGGGGCAAGAAGGAGAAAAAAAUUUGGACCAUUUCUCGAUUUGUGCGUGUCAUCCUUGCGCAGGGGCCAUGCUAAUCUUCUCUGUAUCGUUCCAAUUUUAUCGGAUGUCCCCGAAGGGACGAACUCCACUGUUGAGCUUUCGCUAUAUAAAUGUUAAGGAGUUUCAUAUUCUGGUCGGUGUGGGACGAGCUGGUUAGGGUCUUUCGUUGCAGUAGAACCGGAUAGAGAUAGUCCAUUUGAGCUUUCGCUAUAUAAAUGGUAAGCAGUUUCACAUUUUGGUCGGUGUGGGACGAGCUGGUUAGGGCCUUUCGUUGGAAUAGAACCGGAUAGAGAUAGUCCAUUCCUUUUAUCGUUCGCUUGAGUGAUUUUUACGUAGCUAUAUUUAGAAAUUUAUUUAUGUAUGUUUCUAUACUUUACAGUUUUUAAUAAUUAUUUAAAUUCUGACAACUUAUAUACAUUAUUUUUUAAGAGGCUUUUAUUCCAUUAUUAAUGUCUUCAAUUAAGGAAUUCAAUUACAUCAUUUUCUCUUUUUUUUCCUUCUCAUCUUCUCUAGUGCAAUCUAGUAUUUUGCUUCGCUGGAAAACGCUUUGUUCUCUUCUUUAUUAUUUUAGUUGCAUACAAUGAUACAAAUACAUUGUAUUCUAUACAAAUACACUCAAAUACAAUUUAUUUGUGUAUAAAUAUAUAUUCUUUUCCCAUGUAUUUAUAUAUUCCGAAGGUCUGUAUAUUUUAAAUACAGCCAAAUAUCACUAUAUUUUGUGAUUUUUUGUUGUUUGAAUACAGUAAAUUAAAUGUAAUAUAUAAUAGUGAAUAAUGAAUAUAUGUGGAUUGAAUACAAUUUAUACAGUCGAAUUAAAUAGAGCAGUAUACACCCUAUUUCUUGAUUACCUAUUAAAUUUAUAAAUACAGUCACAUGAAUAUAUAGAAUACAACACAAUUGUAGCGAAAUUUAUGUAGAAUUAAAUUAGGAGUGAUACAUGCUAAUUAAUCCACUUUCCGUUAUUAAACAUCUGGGUUCCCCUAUUUUUUAGGCGAAUUUCGCUAUUGUAUUCAUGAAUAUAAUAGUACGAAUACGGAAAAUAUAAUAGCACAGCUGGACUCCCCUAUUUUUUAGGCAAAUUCUGCUAUUGUAUUCAUUAAUAUAGUAACGGCAAAUAUAGGAAUACAAUCGCCUAACAACUAAUUAAAUAGUAGCUAUAGGGAAUAAUUAUAUAUAUAUUAGCUAUAGAAAUUUAAUAGUCACUAAACAAUGCCUUGUGGUAUAUAAGCUAAACACACACUAAUCUCAAUCACACAUAACAGUUAGGAAAUAGAGAAUGUUAUCAUAGACAAAGAAAGUACUCAGAGCAUGAUUCUCUCAUUCACAUGCAUAGUAAUCUUUAGACUUUGAAAUUGAACAUAAAAUAAAUCAUCCCUCUAACACCUAUCACUCAAAUUGGAUAUCAUGUCCCUUUUUAUUACUAAGAAUAAACUCUCUAUAUUUCAAGAUACCUCCCCUGCCCUAUAAUUGAUUCUCAUUCUUUCUACUUUAAUUCAUUACAUUUCACAUCCCUCCUUUUUGCUAGCAUCUGUCGGUUUACAAAGAUUGAGUGCUUAAGUGUCAAAACCUUAAGCCUUUAAGAUAUAAUUUUUUUGGUUUAAAUUUGAUGACAUAGGAAAUAAAAGUUUGAGAUGUAGGAAUUAGGUUGUUAUUGAGUUUUUAGCCAGCAUAAAAUGAAAAGGAUAAGAUACGCUAAAAAAUGUAGAAAUAAACGUACACACACGUGUUUAUGGAGAUAUAAUAUAAUCCCACUUAUAAGACAUCUUUUUCUUUUGAUAUGUUAAAAAACGUAGAAAUAAACGUACACACACGUGUUUAUGGAAAUAUAAUAUAAUCCCACUUAUUAGAUAUCUUUUUCUUUCUUUUUUUUAAAAAGGAUAUUAUCAUCUAGAAGUGAAAGGAUAUUGUUUAGCUCAAAGUUCUCAUCCACUUAUAAGCAUAAAUCAAUUAAAAUAAAGAGAGGUCCAAUCAUAGCAUAUCAUAAUAAAUCAUAAAACCAGACGGAAAAUAGAUGAGACAAAGGUUAUAAGUUAAGUAGGGGGGAAUGAGAUAUUUUAUUGAUUAAGAUUGGCAUGGUCUGUCUCUCCAUGGAGAGGUUCAUAACCUUACAAUGAUUUGUUCCCCUUUUUUAGAAGUAGGGGUGAAGAAGAAGAAGCAGCCCCCUUUUUUAGGGUUCUUUCUCUUAAUAUUUAUAGCUGUGAAUCUUGCCAGCUGGCAAUGGGCGGCCGUGGUUGCAUUGAAGGCACAUCCGUGAACAAUGAAUAGGCCGUGGUCUCGCUAAUUAGGUUGAGUAACCUUAGAGUACUUUGGUCGGUGAAUGGUUAUACAUUUUAUUAGCCCGAACGAUCUUAGAAGCAAGCUAGACGCGCAAUGAGUAGGUCGUGGUCUCGUUAAUUAGGUCGAGUAACCUCAGAAUACCUUUGUCAGCGAAUGAUUAUGCUUGUUAUUAACCUGAACGAACUUGAGAGCUAAUUAGACAUGCUAAUUAUCACGAACCUAAUUUCGGCACAUACAGAUAGUCCCUCCGCUUAUCGAGGUUGUACCUCGGUCGAACUCGGUGAGCGGAUGAUGCCGGCUGUAUCCUGAGAGGCUCGAGGGUUAAGGCCGACUAUUGCCUUGGCCUUGGUCGUGGUUGAAGACGACCGGAGCUAUUUAAGCUGCGGUCAUCAUAUUGUAGAAGUUGACGACCGUAGCCACUUUGCAGGGACGAUCCUUGACCGUAAUGGAGCUGACGUUAGAUGAGUUCACAUUCGAAGACCGUAGUCGCACUCCUUUGGUUGGUUUUUAUACGAGCGAUGGGCCAUGGCCGUUCAUAUAUUAGAGAUGAUCGUGGCCAUUUAUUUGCAUGUAUCCUUCUUUUGGCAGGAGACCGUAGUCAAUUUAUUGUUAAGGGACGGCGAUAGCCAUUGCUUUGAGAGGUCUGUAGUCGUCCUUACUUCGGGAAUGGCCGUAGCCGUUUUAUUUUCAAGAGGUGGUCGUGGCCGUGGCCGUGGUUACUUCGGAUUAGAUGCAAUUAAUAUUACUUUCGGAGGCGGCCGUAGCCAGCAUUACUUUGAAGAUGGCCGUAUUCACUAAUGAUUUAGAAAUGGUCGUAGCCAAUUACAUAUGCUUGGGGAGGAUACGAUCAUGCUUACCGCGUAUAAGGAAGGCGUCAUAUGUUUGGGGACGCACGGGGCAUGCUUUUGGUAUUUUGGCACCGUUACAACCGCUUCACGGGUGACGUGCUGAUUGACGGUUGAAUGACUGUUCCAUGGUAUCUGUCAUAAUGAUGCUCGUUACUGUAGACUCGAGCCGUUUUGUGGUUGGUCAGGCAAUUAAUGAUGGCCUUAGGGAUUCGUGAAAGCUAUUUGUGUUUUGUCUAUAAAUAAGGGGUUGUAACAUUCAGUUCUUACUUUUCCAACAUUUGCUUAAGUGAAGUUUUAGAGAGACAGCUCUUCUGGUUCUCCGAUUAAUUCAUCUUUUGCUUCUCGUUACUUCAUUCUUCGUCGUUUAUCGUCAGAUCUUCAUCUUCUCUUGCUUUUCCGGUGAAUUUUGCUCACUUCCUUUAACUAUAUUGACAAUGAAGAGCAGCUCUCGUUCUGAUAUUGCUCCGGUGGCGGUUACGGCGGCUAAGGGUCCAUCCACAGUGGUGAGAACCACCGAUUCGGCGAAUAUUGAUAGGCCUUCGUCGGCGACCGACAUUCUUUCUCUGCCCGCGGUCUGAUGACUGAUUUCUCCGACCCUGAAGGAGGGGACCAAGUGGACGAGGCCCCAUUGAUGGGGGAGGUAGGCAUCGCCCAACUGAGGGAUCAAUGUGACAUUCCUCGUUUUGGUGACAUCAUCCUCGCUGGGAGCGGGGAGAGGGUUCAUGUCGACCACUGAGGGUAUUGCAUUUUCUACCCUUACCCUUUCAAGCUAUGAUUUAAACUCCCCUUCCAAUGCUAGUAGUGGACUUCUGCCGCUACAAUAGGGUAUGCCCCGGUCAGCUCGUCCCUUCCUGCUACAAGCUGUUGGCGAUGUUAAUUAAAUAUACGGAGUUGGCACGGAGGGAGAUUAGCCUUGGGCACGUGUUAACUCUCUACGCCCUCCAGAGAGUACGAGGCACAAUGAUUCGGUUGGUUCCUUGUGGGGCCGGCGGCUUAACUGCGGAACUUGAUGACGAGGUCGAUAACUGUCCUUACGAGCACUUUUUCUACAUCGGGACCGAGCACAUGGUGGCUUGUGCUACUGACUUCCCAGAGGAAUGGAAUCAUGCACGUAAGUUUAUUUUACGUUGGUCUUAAUUUCUUUUGGUUAUAUGUCCUGUUUCGUGUUCGUGCGUACUGACCUUCCUCUUGUGCCAUAGCUGGAGGUGCACCGCCGACGCCAUUUUCUAGAACCCGCGAGUGGGUCGAGGCCGUGCUUCCUGUUACAGCGUGAAUUCGCACGUGGGCAUCUUUAUCGGAGUUCCAUGGCCAUAGACUGGCCGCUGGUAAGAACCUGACUUGCUAUGUUAUUCUACUUUCAUGGUUCCUAGUUUCUUUUCCUUGACCCUUCUUCCGACAUCCGUGAGUGGGUCGAGGCCGUGCUUCCUGUUACAACGGGAAUUCGCACGUGGGCAUAUUUCUGGGAGUUCCCUGGCCGUAGGCCGGCCGCUGGUAAGAAUUGCUAUGUUAUUCUACUUUCAUGGUUCCUAGUUUAUUUUCCUUGACCCUUCUUCCUUUGCUGGUUAGGACGACCACGUCGCAGGAGGGCUCCUCAGCUUGCUUUCCGCAGGCUCGGGGCGACUGCCCGAUUGGUUGUGAUGUCGACGCCUCACCCAGUCCCGAGGGCGACAUCGGUUGAAUCCUCAGUGGCUCAUUCUCCAGCACGGUCCGUGCACCGAGUUGAAGAAUCUUCAGGGGCCGUGCGUUCUAGAGUGGAGUUGCCACUGAAUGAAGAUGAGGAAGAAGAGGAGAGGCCGCUGGUUCGGCGUAUGGUGGCGUUCACCCUGGUCCUUCCGGUGGAAAUUAGUUUUGAUUCUCCGUCAUCGGACGCGAAGGGGAAUGCAGCGGAUCCUGCCCCAGAGGGUGAGCAUUUAGUGGGGGUUGCCCCGGUUGGCUUAGGCCAAGGUGACACAGUCAUUUCGGCGAUUCAAAUUUCAGCUCCUGUUGCUGAGAGGGAGGGUAGUUCCUCAGUAACUAUUUUGGUGGAAGAAACGGGCACCAAUGUUUUGGCGAGCGCGAGUGAUUCAACCUCCCAAGUAGUGGAGGCCUCGAUUUCCAGGGCUGCGGAAGGAGGGGGCACCUCAGGAGAGGGGGAUGAUUCUGAGUCCGACUUGGACCCUGAAGACGUCCGCCUAUUCCACAAGGUUUUUACCCGCCCAGCGAUAUAGGGCGAAGGGAAUUAUCACUAUGUGGAGAUUCCUAAUAAGCAAAACCUGCUGUUCGAUGAGGAUAAUCUUGUGACGCUGUUCAAGGUUAUAUGCUCGGAGGCGGAGAGCAUUCCUUGAGGGCAUCUCAGAUGUUGGGCUGAUGGGCGAGGUGGUCGCUCUGGGUAUAAAGGUACGUGUGUAACCUUGGUUUGUUUCUUUUCUUAGUUUGUCUUUCUCGUAUUAACUGUUGUUCUGUUUGCUGUAGUCAUUUUUAUGGAGGUGGAAAGCAUCCGCUGGGCCAACGUACGCUCGGUGCGAUUGUUGGAGAAGUACCGCUGCUACUGGGACCGGUGUCGUGACUCGCGUGAACGCUUAAGGAAUGACCUACGGAACCAGGAGCUAGUAGAAGAGAUGGCGAGGAGGGAACUUCAUAUGCAGCAGACCCUUAACAGGGUAAAUGCUCUCGAGGGGCAGCUCCAUCAAAGAAAUGAGGAGAUAGACGCUGAAAGAAGGGCGGCCACUGAGAGAGAGAGAGAAAGAGUGCCAAAAUCAGGCUACGGCAGCAAAGGCCACUGAGGCUUUGACUAGGCAGGUGGCUGCCUUAGAGACGGAGACUGCAAGGAGAUAGAUGCUGAGAGGAGAGCGGUUACUGAGAGGGAGCGCCAAAAUGAGGCUACGAUAGCAGAGGCCGCUGGGGUUUUGACUAGGUAGGUGGCUGCUUUGGAGGUGGAGACCGCGGCCUUGAGGAAGCAGGCAGAUGACGCCAUGGCGAGGGUCGAAGUGCUGCAGGCGACCAGCCGCGCCCAGGAAAGAGAACGUGGAUUGGAGAGGGCUGCGGCUUCUUUCCGAGAUAGGGUGUUGGAGGGGCGCAUUGCUACCUGUGAGCAGGAUGCCCGUGCUACGGCGGACCGCAUUGUGGCCUUGGAGGCCGAGAACCAAUGCUUGAGGGACCGGGGUGCUUCUUUCGGUCGUGCUCGCAAACUUUGGACGUACGCUGACGCCCAGCUCGAUGUGUUAGGCUGUGGGAAGCCGGCAUUAUGCCUGAGGCCACCUAUGAAGAGGCCCUCCAGAAGGCUCACGAUGAUCGACUCGACUGUGGUUUUGACCCGUCUACGCCCGGAGUUGAUGACGGCGCUGAGGGAGCAGAUAAUGUUGAAGGUGGCGCUGGUGGCGCCGAGUGAACAAAGAAAAAGUUUGUAAUAUUUUUUAGUUUUCGUUCUCUUUUUUCUCUUUCUUUUUUUGUUGUCAUUCGGCUAUUUUUUUUUUACCGGCCCUGGGCUAAUGUAAUUGGGGGUAACCCUUUGUAGAUAUUGUAAAUAUAUGCGACUUUCUUCCUUUCUGUUUAUUUUUUAAUUGAUUCGUACGUUUUUUUUUUGCGCUCAUUCGAGGGGGCCUCGAAUUGGUUCCUUGCCUUAAGAGGGAAUUGAUGUUGAUGGCUUUGGCCAUAGAUAGACGCUUUGGGUCAUCGCCUUCUUCCACUUGGUGGGAGCGGGUUGUAGCCAUGUUUUGGUGGUGGCAGCACAUAGCCUUAGUCCCAGUUCGGGCUUAGUCGACUACUGGCCCUGGUGAUGAAAAGCACGGCCUUGUGGUUCGACAUGGGCCAAACUUUGCGUUGGCCAAAACUUUAGUUUUAAGUUAGUCGUACUUACUUGAAUGUCGGGGGCGCUUGGCCCGAGCUGGUGUUCGAUCGUGGUUGAAAAUUUGGUGGUGCUCGGCUCCGUCUGAGUGUAGCCCGGCUCGUAGCUACGGAGACGCAUACUUUUGGCAUUUAUUCGACCGUGGUUGAUUCUGUGACUCUUGCGACAGAGGUGUGUGGCCUGAGCCCCAAUUCUACUCGUAGUUGAACUUUUGGGCGAGGAUACGUAGCCUGAGUUGUUGUUCAACCAUAGUUGAUCUUUUGGCGCGGAGGCACGUAUCCUGAGUUGUCGUUCAACCUCUUUUAUAUUUUUCAAUGGCGAAGGCACUUGGAAUGAGUCCCAGUUCAACUCGUAGUUGAGCUUUUACACGAAGGCACGUAGCCUGAGUUGUUGCUCAACCGUAGUUGAUCUUUUGGACAGGGGCACGUAGCCUGAGUUUUCGUUCAACCGUAGUUGAACCUUUUAUAUUUUUCAAUGGCAAAGGCACUUGGACUGAAUCCCAGUUCAACUCGUAGUUGAACUUUUAGACGAAGGCACGUAGCCGGAGUUGUUUCUCAAUCAUAGUUGAUCUUAUCUCUUGCGGAGUGUUUUGAAGUGAUGCGAUUCUUAUGUUUAUAGUGAGAAGAUUUCAUGUGUAAUUGGAAGGUAUUUUGAGGUGAAGCAGGCAGGUUAUCUCCAGCAGAGUGUUUUGAAGUGAUGCGAUUCUUAUGUAUAUCGUGAGAAGAUUUCAUGUGUAAUUGAAAGAUAUUUUCUAUGUGUUAUGACUCAAAUAGGUGCAACGCAUGUCCAUAUAUCAAUUUUGAUAAUAGAAUACAUGUAGUAUUGAGAUUAGUGUUGUUGAUAUACAUUGUGAUGCUUUGUCAAGUUGUGGACGUGUUGUUGGGAUGGUUUUUGGGUGAUUCUCUGGCAGGUGGAUAGGCCCAAUUGCAAAGGAAACUCUACCGAAAUUUUUGGAAAAUUUGGGACUUAGUAAAAAAAUUUAUCGCCUAAAUAGUGGGCUUAACCGUUGUGUGAAUGAAUGCAAGAAUUGCAGAAGGGUUAAAAAAUUUUAUUAUUCAUGUUUCCACAAGCUUAUGAAAGAGAGUUUAAUCUCACCAUGAUAUUACAACAUCAAAAGAGUACAUGUAUUGUGGUAUAUAUGGCUUUGAGCGAAGUUGGGGAGGUUGCUGUUGAUUAGCUGAUUGUAUGAUUAGGUACUAUGUUAGUUCCGAUUUGAUGCAUGCGGGUGAAUCAAUUUUGAUUGCAGAAAUUGAGCCGAGGAUGGCACGAGUGAAGCAAAAUUUCGACAAAGGCUAUAUGGUGCCUAGUAGAUGUGAGAAAAAUAAUAGGAUGUCUUGAGUUUUUGAUAAAGAAUGCUUAGUGUAAAGAGAAGGAAGUGGUAUGGUUGUAUCGGAAUGAGGUCAUGUCCUGCUGUGUCAGAGUGUUGAUAAGGCACGAGUGGUUCGAUUCGUUAAGUCGAGAAAUUUGCAGUCUGUAUAAGAGUUGCUGACUCUUGAGAAUGGUGCUGAGGUGUUCAAGAUUCUAUAUGUAGCACUCAGGUGCUUUUAGGUUGAGUAUGUGACCAAGUCAGUUUUUUUAUUAGAUCAAGUCAAGGCUUGUGGUAUUUUUACGUUACUUACGGAAUUUUAUGUAUCAUUAUCUGAGAAGCAGGGGUAGCGAACUUAAAUUCGCAGGAAGUUCUUCAAAGUAGGGUAUUUUGGAAGGUCGUAUUUUGGGAACGUUUGAGAGAGUAUAUGAUGGCCUAUUAUUCUUAGACAGCGUGGUCUUAUGUUCGAGUCUCGUGUGGUAAUACUAGAUUGAGGCAUUGUGGUGCUACAGCGAGAGAUAUCAAGUUGAAAAUGAAUUAGAAGGAAAUCUAGAUACUCGGUAUUUUUGUGAUUAUGGGCAAAUUCGGCUCUAUGUUCAUCUACCUAUGUGAGAAAUUUGAAUGAAUCGGGUGGCACACAGCCACAUGGUAUGUUAUCUGGAUCGGUUUGCGCGCCGCAACAGUGUGAUGUGGAGAAUAGCUCCCAUAUAUAUUUCGUAUGCCUUGUUCGUGAUCGGUAUAAUGGGUUGCUUGGGUUAUAGGCACUAAUCGUGCGUGGUUGUCAAGUUCGAGUAUAGCGACUUGAGGUGCUUCAUGUGAAAUAGUGUUUGGAUAUGGGUAUAAUGGGUUGCUUAGGUUCUAGGUACUAAUCGUGCGUGGUUGUCAAGUUUGAGUAUAGCGAUUUGAGGUGCUUCAUGUGAAAUAGGUUAGGAUGAGAUCGCGCAUUAUAGAGAAGCCACGUGGAGAUUAGACCCUUCGGGAAAGAUUCAAGUAUUCUAUUUCUAUGAUGUGGGACGGGGUCCCAGUCUUGUGUUGUGAUCGUAUUGAUGAGCUUAAGGUACAACUCUUUCGUUUAAGUCAUUUACAUGACUUGAGUAUGUUCAGACCGUCUCUUAUUGGUGUGUGUGUCAUGUAAGUUGUGGCUUAGGCCGUAUUGAUGGGUCAUGUCACCAGGAUGGUGUUGUUUGGUUAGAAGAGACCUUUGGGGUCAUUAAUGGAUACGAACGGAUUUGGUUUCAGCUUGAUGGAUGGUUAAUAUUGAGUUUCGGCUCGGAGAUCUGGUUUGGUAUAAGUCAAAGGGGAAGAAAUGUCAUCGUGAAUGGUUGAUCAGAGAAAUGGUUAUGGUCUACUGCAUGUUCAUUAUCAUUAUUAGAGUAUACCAGUGUUGGAAUAAGGCUCCAGCUACUAAGGGGUUUCUAUUGGUACAUGGUUGUUGUGGACAGCUACUAUGGAUAUAAAUUAUCAUUUCUAGUGUUAGGAUUAUGCGGUAUAUCAUGUGAGUGCACUGAGGUUGUAGGUAUGGGUUAUUACAGCCGGUUUAGGCUUAUUCUGAGUAUAACUGUGAGGUUCUGAUCUUGUGUAUGAUUUCGGAGGUGCAAUGUGGUUCUACGGUUAUGGGCUAGAUGGCCUAUGAAAUUUUUAGUUGUGUUGUAUUAUCGGGCAUAUGUGAGUUAGGGUGACGUGGGAUCACCCCGGGUAUAUGUUUAGUAAGGUCAAUCGGAUAUUGGUUGUCUCCUAGUACAACUCUGGGCACACUCGAGGAUGAGCGUUUGUUUAAGUUGGGGAGGAUGUAACGACCUGACCCGUCGUCUCAUGUACCUCUGCCCCGUUUUCCCCGUUUUAUGCUUCUAUAUGUUCUAUUAUAUGUGUUUGGUGAAUUUGAAGUAAUUCGGAUAGAGUUCGAUUAGAAAUGAGACAAUUAGUCUCUUUAAGAGAAAGUUAGUUUGGAAAAGCCAAUUGAAUAUUGACUUAUGAGUUAGAAGGGUCGGAAUGGAUUUCUGAUGAUUCGACUAGUUUCGGGUGAUGAUUUGUUAGUUAGGAGCGCAAUCGGAAUUGAAUUUGGAGGUCCGGUGUAGAAUUUGGCUUGAAUUGGCUAAGUUUGAAUUUUGACGAAUUCCAGUUGGUAGGUGAGAUUUUGAUCCAAGUGUCAGAAUGGAAUUCUGACAGUUGCAGUAGCUCCGUUAGGUGAUUUUGGAUAUUCGUGCAAAGUUUCAGGUCAUUCGGAGGUGUUUAAGUUGGGUUUUAGAUCAAAUGCAAGUUUCGCAAGUUUUAGUUUAACUUAGGCUUAAAUCCGUGGUAAUUUGAUGAUUUUAUUGUUUAUGCUACGAGAAAGUUUGAAUGAAGUAGUGGAACGUAUCUAUGCGUUUGGUUGAGGUCCCGAGUGCCUCAGGGUGAUUUCGGAUGGCUAACGGGGAAUUUUGAACAUGAAUAGUGCAACAGAAAUUGCUCUCUGCGAUCGCGAGCCUGGGGCUGCGACGCAUAGAAGGCUUGGAGAGGGCCUCAGAUUUUCUCUAUACGAUCGCGUAAAGUGGGAUGUGAUCUCAUAGGUCUGGAUAUUGGUCAGUGCGAUCGCGUGAGGAAGUUCGCGAUCGCGUAGGGGCGAGUGGCAGUUCUCUAUGGUCGCGUGAUGUUGUGUGCGGUUGCGUAGGAGUGGAAGUCAAUGUUCUGCGAUCGCAUGGGCUUUCCUGCAAUCGCGUAAGAGGAAAAUUUAGUGGACGUAAUUUGUUCUCUGCUAUCGCGUGACUUGGGAUGCAAUCGCAUAGAGGAAAAUGGAUCUGGGCAGAAUGGUUUUUAAGGGUUAUUUCAUCCACGACCCAUAUCAUAUUUCCUCCAUUUUUACUCCACCAAGAGAGUUUUUGAGCGAUUUGAAGAGGGUUUUCAACGGGUAUUGAUUGGAAGCAAGUCUCUUGACUUAGAAACACCAUUUUAUGAAAAAUCAACCCUCAAAUCCAUGAAAAUAUGUUGAAAUUGUGAAGAACUAGGGCUUGAUUUUUGAAAACGAAUUCUUGGAAAUUGGAAGACCAUUUGAACUCCGUUUUUGGUAAAAUUUAUAUGUACGGACUCGUGGCGAGAUGAGAAAUCCGAUGAUGUGAUUUUCGAAAUUUUUCGAGAAGUGGGCCUGGGGCUCGGGUUCUACCAAUUUCGUGACUUUUCGUGUUUUUCGAGUAAUUUCAAUUGGGUUAUGUUUCUUUAAUAAUAACGUAUUCAUUGUGGUUUUCACUAGAUUCUAUGCGUGUAGAGGGAGAUUCAAAGGAAAAGGCAUUGUGGACCAGUCUACGACCGGUUAGAGGUGAGUAGUUUGUAUACAUGAUGGCCUGAGGGUUUGAAGCCCCGGUUUAUCACUUCAUGAUGCUAUGUUAGGGCGUGACUCACACUCCAUGGCAGGUGUGGGAUUGUAUAUGAUUGGGGAUUGUUACUUGGUCCAUUCUUCGAGCUAAAUAUAAUUAUUAGCGGUUAAUACGCACAUUGUAUUGUUGAUAAUUGGGCUUAUUGCCAUGUUUGGUGCCUUGUGCCGAUCUGUAGCAUCCGUCUAGGAUGAAUAUCAUUGUGAUAACAUGAUUUGCAUAAUCAUUGAUCUCAGUCCUAUGCUUAGUCACUGUUAUUAAAUGCUAAGUCACUUUUUUCCUGAAAUUAUUUAACUAAAGUAUAUUCACCUUAAUAAUUGGAAACUGGGAAAUAAGAUUGAAUUUGUUAUGUGACUCAUAUGCAUACUGUGGACUGAGUAUGGGCCAGGCUACACGUCGCAGCAGUGAUAUGAUGAUAUUGCGCUUGGGCUGUAGGAGCCCCUUCGAAGUCUAUACACACCCCCAGUGAGCGCCGUCAAUGUUAAACGGAUCCGGCUGUACGCUGUAGCGGAUUCAUGUGCAUUGCAUUGCAUCUUUUCAUGAUACUUGAUUGAUAUAUUUGAUAUUGCUUUGUUGUUAGUUCGUAGUUAAGGUGUCGGACUUUUAGUUUUAGCUUUGCUUUGUGGCAUUUCAUGGAUUUCUUAUCUUCAGACAUCUUAUAUUCUUAUUACUCACUGAGUCGGUAGUAUUCACCCCUACUCCCUGCACCUUGUGUGCAGAUUCAGGUACACCGGAGGCUUAGCUGACAUUCGUAGUCUUCAGAUAUUUUCCAGAGUCGUUGAGGUAGCUGCUUGACGUUCGCAGGAACUGGCUGCUCUUCAUAUCCAGUUCAUUAUUAUUAUAUUUAGCUGAUUCAGUCAUUCUCUCCGCAGAUUGUUCAGAGUUGUUGAGGUAGCUGCUUGACGUUUGCAGGACCUGGCCACUCUUCCUAUUCCAGUUUAUUUUUAUUAUAUAUACAUUUCCAGACUUAUAUUUUGUGAUUUAGAUAUUAUUGUCUAGUUGUUUUAGAGGCUCUAGACUUGUGACCUCAGAUCUUAUGGGAGUGUUUAUCGGUUUCGUAUCUUUCCAUAUUAUUCUAUUAAUAUUAUUAGAUUAUUAUUCUAAAACUAUUACAUUCCUCCAUAAGUUGUCGGGUUUGAGACUUAUUGUCAAAUGGGAGCGAUUGUUGGUGAGGCUUGCCUAGCUUUAGGGUUGGACGCCACCACGGCCAGCUUGUCGGCUGAUACGCAUAUUGUAUUGUUGAAAAUUGGGUUUAUUGCCAUAUUUGGGGACUUAUGCCGUUUUGUAGCACCCUUCUAGGAUGGAUAUCAGUGUGAUAGCAUAAUUUGCAUAAUCAUUGAUCUUAGUCCUGUGUUCAAUCAGUGCUAUUAAAUGCUAAGUCACAUUUUUCCUGAAAUUAAAUAAUUAAAUUUUAUUCUUCUUAAUAAUUGGAAACUGGAAAAUAAAUUGAAUCUGUUAUGUGACUCAUAUGCAUAUUGUGAACUGAGUAUGGGACCUGUGGGCCCAUAACCCAUAGGUGCCAGGUUACUAGGCCUCACGAGUCAUGAGCCGGUUUAGUAGAGUCUCGCGGAUCGAUACGUGGACGUCCAUAUCUAUCCUCGGGAGGCUACAGAACCUUUAGGAAACACUCGACUUUCUUGAAAUCUUAUCGUGCAUCCUUGAUUCAGCUUGAAAGAGUAACUCUUGAAAUUAUUUCCACGUGUUCGCAUGCGCGCAUGAGCGCUCGGUAGUUGAUGUGCCUUGAUGGCUUGUGACUCCCUGAUCGAGGGGCGAGAUGUAAUCUUUGUUAGGUCGAUAUUGGGCCAGUCUGGAGGACUUGAGGCUGAGUCUCUGCAUAUGGCUUGAGCACCAGAGCACUAAUUCUGCGAGAUUAUGUUAUGAACUCAUAUGUUCGGUAUUGUCGCUAUUAGCCGGAAUGGCAGUUUUGUAUUUGUGUGAUGGUGUAUGUUAGUACUGCGACAUGCAAUUAUUUGACUUUGUAGCGACGAAGAAAUCUGAUGGAUAAUAGAUGAACUGUUAAGUCAUAUGUUUCCUAUUGUGGUCCAAUGUGUAGCCCGAAUAUAGGCGCAUGAAGAAUCUUUUCAAGUCUCCUAGUGGAGUUAAGUAAAUUGCAUGAUACGAUAUGAGUUCAGACUCAGCAAGACUAAGUAGCUGUGUAAUGUGUAUGACGAGGGAAGGUAUACAUAAAUAUUAUAUUGAGGUGAAGCAGGUAGGUUAUCUCCUGCAGAGUAUUCUGAAGUGAUGCGAUUCUUAUGUGUAGUGUGAGAAGAUCUCAUGUGUAAUUAAGAGGUACGUGUUGUAUCUUGCAAAUUUGAGUCACAUCAGAUAGCGGACUCAGCUGACGUGGGGGAUGAAUGCGAGGUUGCCGAGGAUUUCAGUAUCUGAUGACCGGUGUCUUAAUAAGGUAAUAAGUAAUUUGAGUUUAAUCUCACUAUGGCAUGGUGGUAUCAUUAGAGUAAAGGUAUUAUGAAUUGUUGAGUGUGUCCUGAUAUAUGGUUUGAGCCAAGUUGGGGACGUUGUUAUUGAUUAGUUGAUCGCACGAUUAUGUACUAUGUUAGUUUCGAUUUGAUGAAUGCGGGUGAAUCAGUUCUGGUUGCAAAAAUUGAGCCGAGGAUGGCUUGAGUGAAGCAAAAUUUUGAAAAAGGUUAUACGGUGCUUCGUAGAUGUGAGGAAAUAAUAGGAUGUCUUGAGUUGUGGAUAUGGAAUGCUUAGUGCAAAGAGAAGGAAGUUAUUUGGUUAUAUCGGAAUGAGAUCAUGUCCUGCGGUGUCAGAGUGCUGAUAAGGUACGAGUGGUUUGAUUUGUUAGGUUAAGUAAUUCGCAGUGGGUAUAAGAGUGGAUGACUCUUGAGAAUGGUUUGAUGUGUUCAAGAUUCUAUAUGUAGCACUCAGGUGUUUUAAGGUUGAGUAUGUAACCAAGUUAGUGUUUCCGUUAGAACAAGUUGAGACUUGUGGUGUUUUUACGUUAAUUAUGGGAUUCUAUGUAUCAGUAUCUGGGAAGCAAAGGUAGCAAACUUAAAUUCACAUCAAAUCCUUCAAAGUAGGCUAUUUUAGAAGGUGGUAUUUUUGGGAGCGUUUGGAAGAGUAUUUAGUGGCCUAUUGGCCUUGGACAGUAUGGUCUUACGUUCGAGUCUCGUGUGGUAAGCCUGGGUUGGGGCAUUGUAGUGCUACCGCAAGAGAGUAUAUCAAGUUGAAAAUGAAUCAGGAGGAAAUCCAGACAAAUGAAGUAUCUUGUUAGUGGACCGAAUCGGUAUGGUAAAGAUAUGCUCAAUUCUUUGUAUGUGUUCGAGGUAAUGAGGUUAUACAAGCGUGGGGCAGCAAGGCUCGUGAGUACUGAGAGUCUGCUUGGCUUGGGUCAAGAAGAAGGAUUUAGUCCUGGCAGAUUAGCUUGCGCAAAUCGGAUUGGGAGAGAAUUCUUGUUAGGCUUAAUCGUGGUUUGGAGAUGUAUAUUUCUAUGGACAUGUGGAGAAUGGAGUGCGUAAUGACUUUUUCUUCUAAAGGGGAUCAAUGAAAGUUCUAAACUAGUUGAGUGUGUCAAAGUAUGCGACGUGGAAGGGAGACGAAAGUUCUCGUGUUAUCCUUGGAAAUAUGGUAGGUGCGGUAUAUUCUAGAGGGCCGAGACUGCCAUGUGUGAGGUUUUGGUUUAGAUCUGAAAGGAAGUUCAUAAAGUUCUUAGGCAACGAGUAGCCUCAGGUAAUCAAGGAAAUGGUAUUAGUAAUUGGAAGUGACUUGACGAUAGAAUAUGUCUCGGAAGGAGGGUAAGGUGAUCAGACUAAUGAUACAUCAGUAGUGUUGCGACAUUUUCUUAUUGGAUCGACUACCAAUAUUCGAGUUUGCUGAUGGCACAGGGAAAUUCUAGAAUAUCUUUCAUGGAAUGAUUUAGUACUCGGUGUGUGAUAGGCAUUCAUAUGGCGGAAUGUAGAAAUCAUGUAUAGUGAUUUGUAUGUUAUAUGGAGUUGGAGACUGGAGUUAUCCAAUGCAGUGUAUGUAGCGGUUGUAGAUCGUGUGCAUUGGCAUCAUAAACGGCUAUUGGGAUUUUGAAGCCUGAGUAGAUCUUGCUUUGCUUGGUAUGUUAGAUUUGGACAUGAUAUUGGUGUGUAGACUGGUUGUCUCUGUGUUGGGUUAUUUUAGACCGUUGUACUAUGGGUCAUAUUGUAAGAUGCCACAGGUUGCGUGGCGAGGUGCAUCAGACUAUGUUCUAGCUGAAUGGUUGUGUUCCAAGGACCAGCAGACGGCUGGUAGGAAUUGCUUUCCAUAAUUUGGCCUUUGAGGCAGGAGGCAGUGUAGAGGUUUCUACCAGUGAUUCAGUUCCGGUGUUAAGGGACUUUUUGGAUGUGUGUUCUAGUAUGAGUUUACUCGGUUGGCUCCGAAUUGUAUUGUCGAGGGAUAAGCUGACUCGAUCAUUGCUGAGCUUAUCAGCGAUCUAGAUAGAUAUAUGAGUUGUUUUCUACUUUGCGAGACGUUAUGAUUUACGAACUAUGGGCACAUAUGGUGUAGUGCUAUCGGGAUUCAUAGUGGAAGAUUGAGAGGGAAACCUCAGUUAUGCUUGGGUUUGGUAGCUUAUAAUGCUAUAUGUAGAUAUUGUAUGCACUCAGUACGCUUAUGACCGGUACUCGGUAUUUUGUUAUAAUGAGCAUAUUCGGCUCGAUGUGCAUCUCCCUAUGUGAGACAUUUGAGUGGAUUGGGUGGCACGCCGCCACAGGUUAUGUUAUCUAGAUGGGGUUGCACACCGCAACAAUGUGAGGUUGAGGAUAGUUUCUGUAUGUUACUUGGUAUGCCUUGCUUCCUGGUUUUUGAGGAAGUCCGUAUUAGGAGUUGCUCGGCGAAUAGCGAAUCGAUUGUGUCCUUUUAGGAUUGAAUGGUGUAUGUAACUUGCUUCACUAUGGGUGUGAUGGAUUGCUUGGUUUUAGAAGUCAAUAUGUGUGUGGCUAUAUAUUUUGAGCAUGGUGACUCGAGGUGCAUCAUGUGUAACAGUGUUUGGAUAGGAUCGCGCGUUGUGGAGAGGCUACGUGAAGUUAUGGCCUUUCAAGGAGUAUUCAGGUAUUCUAUUCCUACAAUGUGAGAUGGGGUUUCCGCCUUGUGUUGUGAUGGUACUGAUGAGCUUGAGAAACAGCUCUUUCAUUGAGUCAAUAUUGUGAUUUGAGUAUAUUCAAGUCGUUCCUCAUGGGUGCGCGUGUUAUGCAAGUGUGGCUUAGGCUGGUGAUGAGGUGUCAUAUCACCAUAAUGCUAUGUAGGAUUCGAGGUGAUCAUUGAAGUCAUUAAUGAAUACGAACGAAUCUGGUUGCAGCUUGUUGGAAGGUUAAUACCGAGGUUCGACUCGGAAAUCUUUUGUGUUAUUAGUAAAAGGGGAAGAAAUGUCUUUGUGAAUGGUGGAUCUGAGAAAUGGUUAUGGUCUACUGCAUGUUCAUUAUCAUUGAUAGAGUAUACCAGUGUUGGAAUAAGACUAUAGCUAAUAAGGGGUUUCUAUCUGUACAUGGUUGUUGUGGACAGCUACUGUGGAUAUAAAUUAUCGUUUCGAGUGUUAGGAUUAUACGGUAUAUCAUGUGAGUGCACCUGAGAUUGCAUGUAUGGGUUAUUACAGCCGGUUCAGGCUUAUUUUGAGUAUAAAUGUGAGGUGCUAAUCUUGUGUAUGGUUUUGGAGGUGCAAUGUGGUUCUACGGUUAUGGGCUAGAUGGCUUGUGAAAUUUUUAGCUAUGUUGUAUUACCGGGCAUAUGUGAGUUAGGGUGACGUGGGAUCACCCCGAGUAUAUGAUUAGUAUGGUCAUUCGGAGAUUGGUUGUCUCCCAGUGCAACUCUGGGCACACUCGAGGACGAGCGUUUGUUUAAGUUAGGGAGGAUGUAACGACCCAACUUGUCGUCUUAGGUAUCUCCGCCUCGUUUUCCCCAUUUUAUGCUUCUAUAUGUUUCAUUAUAUGUGUUUGGAGAAUUUGAAGUAAUUCGGAUAGAGUUCGGUUAGAAAUGAGACAAUUAGUCUCUUUAUGAGAAGGUUAGUUUGGAAAAUUCAACCAAAUAUUGACAUAUGAGUUAGAGGACUCAAUUGGAUUUCCUACGAUUCGACUAGUUUCCGGUGGUGAUCUAUGACUUAGGAGCACAAUCGGAACUGAAUUUGGAGGUCCGGUGUAGUAUUAGGCUUCAGUUGGCUAAGUAUGAAUUUUGGCGUAGUCCGGUUGAUAGGUGAGAUUUUUUAUCCGGGGAUCAGAAUGGAAUUCCAACAGUUGCAGUAUCUCUGUUAGGUGAUUUUGGAUAUGCGUUCAAAGUUUCAGGUCAUUCGGAGGUAUUUAGGUCGGGUUUUGGAUCAAAUGCAAGUUUUGGAAGUUUUAGUUUAACUUAGGCUUGAAUCCGUAGUAAUUUGAUGAUUUUGAUGUUUAUGAUAGUGUUUUUAUGUUACGAGCAAGUUUGAAUGAAGUAAUAGAACAUACCGGUGCUUUUGGUUGAGGUCCCAAGAGCCUCAGGGUGAAUUCGGAUGGCUAACGGGGAUUUUUGAAGAAGAAAAUGCAGAAAAAAUUGUAGCAGAGAAUUUACUCCAUGCGAUCGCAUAGAUAGAUCUGCGAUAGCAUAGAAGGCCUAUGAGGGGUGAAGAUUUUUCUCUAUGCGAUCGCGUAGUGAGGCCUGCGAUCGCAUAGGUUGAUGGCGUUGUGCAGUGCAAUCCCGUGAGGGGUUAUGCGAUCGCGUAUGAGGGGUAGGUGAAGCUCUGUGAUCGCAAGGGGUGUCAUGCGAUCGCAUAAGAGGAUUUGAGGGCCCAGGGAUUUUGUGCUAUGCGAUCGUAGAGGCUUGGAUGCGAUUGCAUAGGGAAAUAACUGGGCAGACAUAAGGGUUUUUAAUAACAUUUCAUCUGUGAACCAAACCUAUGUUCUACCAUUGUUAAGCAACCAAGAGAGUUUUUGAGCAAUUUGAAGCGUGUUAUCAACGGGUAUUGCUUGGAGGUAAGUCCCUUGACUUAAAAACACCAUUUUUAUGAAGAAUCAACCCUCAAAUCCAUGAAAAUAUGUUGAAAUUGUGAAGAACUAGGGCGUAGUUUUUGGAAACUAAUUUUGGGGAUUUGAAAGGCCAUUUGAACUCCGUUUUUGGUAAACUUUAUAUGUACGGACUCGUGUCGAGACGAGGAAAGGUUUUUGAAAAUGAAUUCUUGGAAAUUGGAAGACCAUUUGAACUCCGUUUUUGGUAAACUUUAUAUGUACAGACCCGUGGCGAGACGAGGAAUUUGAUGAUGUGCUUUUCGGAAUUUUCGUGAAGUGGGCCCGGAGCUCGGGUUUUACCAACUUUGUGAUUUUUAGUGUUUUUCGAGUAAUUUCAAUUGGGUUAUGUUUCUUUAACCUAUAAUAACGUAUUCGUUGUGGUUUUGACUAGAUUCGACACGCGUAGAGGGAGAUUCAAAAGGAAAAGGCAUUGCGGACCAAUCUAAGACCGGUUAGAGGUGAGUAGUUUGUAUAGAUGAUGGCCUAAGGGUUUGAAACCCCGUUUUAUCACAUCGUGGCGCUAUGUUAGGGUUUGACUCGCACCCCAUGGUAGGUGAGGGAUUGUAUAUGAUUGGGGAAUGUGAAUUGGUCCAUCCCAAGAGCUAAAUAUAACUAUUGGCGGUUAUACGCACAUAUUAUUGUUGAUAAUUGGGCUUAUUGCCAUGUUUGGGGCCUUGUGCCUAUCUGUAGCACAGUCUAGGGCGAAUAUCUUUGUGAUAACAUGAUUUGCAUAAUCAUUAAUCUCAGUCAUGUGCUUAAUCACUGUUAUUAAAUGCUAAAUCACCUUUUUCCUGAAAUUAAUUAACUAAAUCAUUUUCAACUUAAUAAUUGGAAACUAGGAAAUUAGAUUGAAUCUGUUAUGUGAGUCAUAUGCAUGCUGUGGACUGAGUAUCGGUCGGGCUACAGGCUGCAACAGUGAUAUGAUGAUAUUGCGUUUGGGUUGUAGGAGCCCCUCUGGAGUCUGUACACACCCCCAGUGAGCGCCAUCGAUGUUAAACGGAUCGGGCUGUAUGUCGCAGCGAAUUCAUGUGUAUUGCAUUGCAUCUUUACAUUAUACUUGACUGAUAUAGUUGAUAUUGCUUUGUUGUUAGUUUGUAGUUAAGGUGUCGGACUGU
RNAcentral lists this long non-coding RNA (24801 nucleotides) under Nicotiana benthamiana. RNAcentral describes it as "long non-coding RNA (NBEN_LNC026896)". The record is from RNAcentral. Lineage: Eukaryota; Viridiplantae; Streptophyta; Magnoliopsida; Solanales; Solanaceae.